Long non-coding RNA from Amphiprion ocellaris (clown anemonefish), 3917 nucleotides. Lineage: Eukaryota; Metazoa; Chordata; Actinopteri; Pomacentridae. The record is from Ensembl.
GUAAGUAAAUGUUUGUUUUCGUAUCGGUGCCGCUUUUAAUGCACUUUAUAUGCAGCUGUAGUGUCAGAUAUAAUGUGUGCCAUGCACUCCAGAUGUUGGUGGAGUUUAUUUCUGUGUGUGUUGACCAGAGAAGAAAGUUAGCAUCCAGUAAAUAUUAGCUUUAAUGUUAGCGAUGCUAACCGAGCUAGCUGCUCAGUCCUAGCCUGAUUAAAGCUAACGUAGCAUUAAGCUAACGAUGUUUGUGUUAUUUCCUGUAAACAGCUGAAGUAUGUUGUGUUACUGUAAUGUGGUACAUUUAGUUAAUAAAACUGUUCAUGGAGACGCUGGUUCACAUUAAUGUAACGUUUAGAAAACCUAAAUGUGAUUAAAACAGUGAGGUUAAGGUUCUGUGUUGUCAGUAGUCCUGAAUAUCUGCUGAGUCUCUGAAGUUAAACUGGAGAAAACAGUAAAUCUGCUCUCUAGUUGUUAACAUUGUUUAAUGACUGAUUCACAUGUUUUAGUACUUAUUCCUGCAGUGUAGACUGGAAAAAUAAACUCCCAGAAUAUGUCCAAAGUAAUGAUAAACACUACACUUAUUACAUUUAAAUUACAGCACAGAUAAGCUGGAUAAUAAAAUCCUUUCCUCUAAAGCUAAAGUGACUACAGGCCUUUCUGUCUUUCAGUGCCUGGAAAACUAUAUGAAACAGGAAAUCUGUCCAGGGAUACUUUAAAAUGAACCUCUGCUGUUGAUGCUGAUACUGUGACGUCUGUCUUCAUCUCAGGUGUCUCAUGUUCACUGUGAGGAUCUUCUGAGUGAAGCCAACAGAAGGAAAACCUCAUCUGGAUGUGAAGAAGGAGACUGAAUGGACGACAUCCUCAGUGAACCACUUCCUGUUUAACUUUCACUUACAGAAGGACAGAGCAACUAUUUCAGCAGUUUAUUUUUCUCUGUUCUUAGUAUUCACAGGUUCCAUUUAUCACCUUUAACUUCAUCUCUGCUGUUGUAGCAGAAUGAUAAUACAGAGCACAUUUUCCUAUCAUUUAUAUCAGAUAUGUAGCAUUAAAACAUCAAGGACAAGAGCUUCAUUAUUUUCUUUAUUGCACAUUUAAAAACUACAUUGUUUAACAAUUGUGAACUAAGGAUGCGUAAACACAUGUAAUAAAUGGAUGAAAUACAUAAUGUGUUGCUGACAGUGAAGUGUAAAAACUGAACAGUCACAAGACAAGUUGUAUUAUGAAGAGAGGAGCUGAAUCUGCAGCAUUAUUGUUAUUACUGGAAGGAUGAGGAGGACAUCAGUGCUGCUCUUCCUCACAGUGAUGAAGGAGAAAAGACUCUUCAGACAACCACAGCUGGAUGUUCUCUGGAGCUCUCAGUCCAUCAGACGAGAUGCCCCCAAUGAUCCAGACCAAGACUGGAAGGAAAAGACACCAACAGUGGAAGCUGAAUUAGUGAGGAUGACUCCUGCUCCUGUCAUCUCUAAGCUCCUCCCACAUCUUUACCUGCACAUGAGGAAAAUCACUCCUGUAGAAUGCAGAUGUUCAGAGGGAGAUGAUGCCACAUCUGGUCCAGCAGAUGGAAGGUCUUGAAGUUCUCUGACUGGCCUGGACUGAAGAUGGUCGUCUCACUGGAUUUAAGGUUCAGAUGCUCAGUAACAAACUCCACCAAUGAGCCAACAGGGAAGCUAUGCACAAUGAGGGACGUCUGCAGCGACUGAGAAAGAGUCUCACCACAUCCUGACAUGAGGAAAAAGACUUUAUUGAAGACUACAAUGAGAAAAACUAUCAGACAGCAGACGGCUGCAUUCAAGGCUGUUAGAUUGUUCCAGAUAAGACAAGUACAAGAUUCUUCAGAGCCGUUCCACCAUGAGCCUGACAGGAAGAACUCCAACAGCUACUGAAUGUUCCUGUGGUUCCCUCAAGGCUACAGGAGGAGUCCUACGAGGACGAGCCGGUCCACCUGAUGGUGGCCAGUCACUGCAGUUCAAAGCCAACACCGACUACGUGGACUUCUACUGGACCACACGGAGGCCUUCAAACCGGACCAACAAGUUCAGCGACUCCCCGACUCGUGGGUCUGAGGACGCCGCCGAGCCUCGGUCCAGCCAGCCUCCUGUCUGUGGGUGUUUGAGUGCUGAGAGGUUUGUGGAUGCAUGUGAACGUUCUGUGUUGAAACAGCAGCUUUGGACUCAGUAACGCCGGGAAAAACCAAGAGCUCCUUUAUUUGUGACUUCCACUAAAAAACUGAUGAAAAUAAGUUUGCCAGGGUUCUGACUGAUAACAGAUUAUUAAAUAAUGAAAAUAAUCGUUUAAAUAUUCCUUUAAACAAUCUUUUAGGGCUACAUUUCCUUUACACUGACUUCUUGGUAAAUGUACUAGUAUUUAGGGUGGAAUAUACCAUUAAGCCCGAUGUUCAAGGGUUCUUCUGGGAAUAUACUAUUAAACCAACCUUUUAGGUAAAUGUUCCAGGAUGUUGGGUAGAAUAUACCAUCAGAUAAACCUUUUAGGUCUACAUUGGAAGAUUUUACAGUAGAAUAUUACUCCAAUCCAUCCUUUAGGUCAACAUUUAAGGUGGAAUACUCCUUUACACCAAGAUUUUUUGGUCUACAUUGAAGGAUUUUUGGUGGAAUAUUUCUUUGGAUGAACUUUUUAAGUUUAUGUUCAAGGAUGUUGGUGGAAUAUAACAUCAGACCAACCUCCAAGGUCUACAGUAGUGAAUUUUAGGUGGAAUAUACCAUUAAACUCACCUUUUAGGUCUACAUUGGAGGAUUUUAGGUGGAAUUUUCUUCCAAACCAUCUUUUAGUCUACAUUUAAGGAUGUUUAGGAUGGUAUAUUCUUCCAAACCAACUUCUCAGGUCUACAUUUCAGGUGGAAUAUUCCUCCAUACUAACUUUUUUGGUCUACAUUGAAGGAUUUUUUCUAAACCACCCUUUGGGGUCUAUAUUUGAGGUUUUAGGUGGAAUAUUCCUUUUAACCAGCCCCUCGGGUCUCUUUGAGGAUUUUGGAUGGAAUACUCAGUUAAAGCAACAUUUUAGGUGCAUGUCCAAGGAUUUUUGGUGGAAUGUUACUUUAAGGUGGAUGUGUGAGGACCUUGUAGGUGGAAUACUUCCUGAAACCAACCUUUUAGGUCAACAUUCAAAGAUUUAAGGUGGAAUAUUCCUUUAAACCAACCUAAAUUUCAUGUUUUGAUCAUUAUCAAGUGAGAAACCUCAAUCCAGACUCCUCAUAAUGACGUUUGAGAUUUAUGCUGCUGUUAUUUGUUUAGUCCAGACUAAAUAACAGAAAUCCACAACUGUAAUUUUAUUGCAGGACUCGGUUAUUAAAUGUCAAAACAAUCCAUGUGACUCUAAAAACUCAACAGCUUUACAAACUCUAAGAUUAAACUCUCCACAAGGAUCCAAAAUAAGUUGGACUUCUACAUGAGAGCUUUAAUUAUUCUUCAUCUACUUUCUGAAAAGUUUGGUCAAUAAAAAAGACAAAAACUAAUAUUUUCAGCUGAACUAAAGUAAGACUUUGUGAUUUUUCUGCUCACAUCUUGUGUUGUUGUAAACUUCCUCUUUCAAAUAAAUAUCCUCCUAACCCCCUGGAAACCAGCGUUUGUCCUGUUUUUGUGUUGCUCGUCACCUACUUCAGACAGCCGGGACAAAACAACGUUUUGUGGACAAAAGGCUGUUCUAUGACGUUUUUAGAGCGACAUGCUAUGCUACGUCGAAAAAAAAUGUUAUUUAUCAACAUAUUGUAAAAACGUGCCAUAUGAUGAAAUAAAUAAUAAUAAUGUAAAGAAGGCCGUGAAAAACACUCCAGAAAGGUUUUCUUUGAAAAAAAAAUCAUCAUGAAUUUUGGCGCAAAAAAAACACCAUAGUAUACUAUGUCGAAAAAAAAUUUUUGAUUUUUCAACAUGUUGUGAAAACGUGCCAUAUGAUGAAAUAAUGUAAAGGAG